Molecule: ribosomal RNA, 429 nt
Filed under: Fusobacteriota bacterium
Lineage: Bacteria; Fusobacteriati; Fusobacteriota
Description: Fusobacteria bacterium partial 16S ribosomal RNA
Rfam family: Bacterial small subunit ribosomal RNA
Source: RNAcentral
UGGGGAAUAUUGCACAAUGGAGGGAACUCUGACGGAGCAACGCCGCGUGAGUGAAGACGGCCUUCGGGUUGUAAAGCUCUGUGAUCCGGGACGAAAGAGCCUGAGGUGAAUAGCCUAAGGAAGUGACGGUACCGGAAAAGCAAGCCACGGCUAACUACGUGCCAGCAGCCGCGGUAAUACGUAGGUGGCAAGCGUUGUCCGGAAUUAUUGGGCGUAAAGCGCGCGCAGGCGGCUUCCUAAGUCCAUCUUAAAAGUGCGGGGCUUAACCCCGUGAUGGGAUGGAAACUGGGAAGCUGGAGUAUCGGAGAGGAAAGUGGAAUUCCUAGUGUAGCGGUGAAAUGCGUAGAGAUUAGGAAGAACACCGGUGGCGAAGGCGACUUUCUGGACGAAAACUGACGCUGAGGCGCGAAAGCGUGGGGAGCAAACAGG